RNAcentral lists this unclassified non-coding RNA (279 nucleotides) under chlamydia-associated clinical sample 43-T. RNAcentral's name for it is "intergenic spacer region". The record is from RNAcentral.
ACAUUAGUCUUAAUUGACUUAUUACAUAAUCGAUUCGUGUCUAGUUUUGAGAGCUUUAAGGUUCUCAAUUAUAGUUCUUUGAAAACUGAAUAGCAAAUAACAAUAUGAUUAACUUCAUAUUUAUUAUUUCAACGAUCUUUUUUUUAUAACCGAGUUUAAUUUUUAAAUUAAAUUUCUAAAAUAGAUUACCAAUAUUAAAAUACCGUAUUAGAUAUUUAUCUUUAGCAAUAAUAGGCAAUAUUAAAGUUGUAUUAACUUUUAAAUUAAGUAAGAGUAUUU